AAGCAAUCAGAAUGAGAUGAUAAACAGUGAAUGAAUCAAUGAGUAAAAACACAAAGAAUGGCCAAGACCAGAUUGUGUGAUGGCUUUGAUCAACCGAAAAGAGUAUAGGUUUCUAACUUGUACAAAUCUAAGAAUAACUAAUCAAUUUGGAAUGUUCAAUUUUAGCGCUUUGAGAAACACCAGAAUUCUCAGAGGAUUAGAGAUGUUCGUCUUGCCUUAGUUUGGAGCUGUAGGCCGCUAAGCAGCGUCUCCCGUUACCGGUUGGUUGAGCAGGCGUGCCCUCUCUGGUCCAGGUGCCUCUGCGCCAGGAAUCGUCGCCCGCGGUGAUGAUGACGGCUCGGGGUCAGCGAAGUAACAGUCAGCCAGGCUGGACUUUCCAAGGUGUUUUAAAGCGUCAGCGCUACUUAAACUAGCCCAAAAGGGAAACGGGCUGGAAUCUAAUUUUAUUAGUUCGAUCAAAAAUAGCGAGUCAACUAAUGACUGUUUGUAAUAGUUUCAGUUUCGCUGUGUUUCUUGACAAACAAAAAUUAACAAAAUCUGUUGCUCGUCCGUAUUUCUAAGUUUAACUUAAGUUUACAAAACUCAAGAACAAAGGAAAAUUAAAGGAGUCAUAUCAUGCUUUUCAUUCUAAAAAAUAUUAGACUUUAAUGUCUCAGUAAGGUCUCUGUAAAUUUUCAUCCCAUAAAACCCUUUAGAUCGUCCACACUGCCCCUGUCAAUGUGUGGUUUUCACUCUCCAUCAGCAAACGCUGUGUUUUCUGGGCGUGUCGCCAGCGUAGCUGCUCACCACACCUCUGUGCGGAAGCGCAUACCUUUUUUGUUGUUGUUUUUUUUUUAAAUUGGCUCCAUGGAUACGAGCCACCGCACGGUUAGGAUACAAUAGGUGGCAGUAGUGCGACAUUGAGAAUGCAAUCCACCGCAAUCCUCCACAGAAGAAGAAGACCCACUACAGAACUGCACGACAUUAGUCAUCUGGUUCGUAGCGUAGUAGAACCAUACGUCUACGAUCCCGAAUCUGACCCUGAAGCUGAAGAGGAGGCUGUUGAAGUCACCACAUUUCGGCUGAUGCAAGAUGUGUCUCAUUGUUGUUACAGGUAUCUAAUCUACAGAGGCUAGUGAGCUGGUGCUGAGGAUUCCUAGGGUGAAGAAUCUGAGUUGCCAUCUCUUCAUGCUUGGGUUGUAGAUGAAGGCAGAGUUUCCUGAUGGAUAAAACACUAAAACACUCAUUGUAUGAUGGAUGUAAACCACCUGUGGAAUAACUCCUUUACCAUUUGAGUAAAAAUGUGUUUUUUGUGAGUGCAAUACUCAAAGAAUUUUUUUAUUUUUUAUUUAUAUAUAAUUUAUAUGCUUUUUAUUUAUGGCCGCUUCAACUUUAUAGCUUACCAUAUUAGAAAGAGAAAAAACAUGUAAUUUCAAUACUAUGAUUUCCUGAAUAAAAGUGUUUCCCCUUCAGAAACA
This 1457-nucleotide long non-coding RNA is filed under the name Betta splendens (Siamese fighting fish). RNAcentral describes it as "lncRNA (ENSBSLG00000003881.1)". The record is from RNAcentral. Lineage: Eukaryota; Metazoa; Chordata; Actinopteri; Anabantiformes; Osphronemidae.